UCUGGUGUUUUGAAGGCCAGCAUCCCUUUUGCAGUUAUUGGCUCAAAUCAGCUUAUUGAGGUGAAAGGGAAGAAAAUCCGUGGACGGUUGUACCCUUGGGGUGUCGUGGAAGUGGAGAAUCCGGAACACAACGACUUCUUGAAACUUCGUACCAUG
Long non-coding RNA from Nanorana parkeri, 156 nucleotides. RefSeq lists it as uncharacterized. NCBI's taxonomy places the organism in Eukaryota, Metazoa, Chordata, Amphibia, Anura, Dicroglossidae. The transcript is spliced from 3 exons. The record is from RefSeq and is a predicted model, not a curated record.